Molecule: ribosomal RNA, 468 nt
Filed under: uncultured bacterium
Lineage: Bacteria
Description: partial 16S ribosomal RNA
Rfam family: Bacterial small subunit ribosomal RNA
Source: RNAcentral
GACGAACGCUGGCGGCGUGCUUUACACAUGCAAGUCGAACGGAAAGGCCCUGCUUUUGUGGGGUGCUCGAGUGUCGAACGGGUGAGUAACACGUGAGUAACCUGCCCUUGACUUUGGGAUAACUUCAGGAAACUGGGGCUAAUACCGGAUAGGAGCUCCUGCUGCAUGGUGGGGGUUGGAAAGUUUCGGCGGUUGGGGAUGGACUCGCGGCUUAUCAGCUUGUUGGUGGGGUAGUGGCUUACCAAGGCUUUGACGGGUAGCCGGCCUGAGAGGGUGACCGGCCACAUUGGGACUGAGAUACGGCCCAGACUCCUACGGGAGGCAGCAGUGGGGAAUAUUGCACAAUGGGCGGAAGCCUGAUGCAGCAACGCCGCGUGCGGGAUGACGGCCUUCGGGUUGUAAACCGCUUUCGCCUGUGACGAAGCGUGAGUGACGGUAAUGGGUAAAGAAGCACCGGCUAACUACGUG